Molecule: non-coding RNA, 943 nt
Organism: Labrus bergylta (ballan wrasse)
Lineage: Eukaryota; Metazoa; Chordata; Actinopteri; Labriformes; Labridae
Source: RefSeq, a predicted model, not a curated record
CAGUACGCUGCUGCAGCGUGCUUGAGGAAGCUCAAGCUAACGUUAACUAGCAGUAAUGAAAAACAGCUGGGCGCCAUUAAUUACAGAGCAACACACAGCACGGACUGUUCAGAACCAAUCAGAACGACUUAGAAGCAAUUUAUGAGAAGACAAAGUGUUGUUUAAGAUGACGACAUAAUAGCAGAUGUGCGACCAUGACAGGUUUUGAAUGUUGGUUUUGGCGGGCAGCUGCUCGCCCCUCUUUCCAGGACUGCACACCAUCACUGAAUCUUUUAUUGUCUUUAAGCCUCAUUCAUUCUCUGCUCACUUGAAGUGACUCGUGUCGUUGCCGCCGACGCCAGGAGACGUCAACUUCUGGACCAGAAUGCGGAUCACGUAGAUGAAGAUGAUGAAUCGUUCUCCACCUAACAAGUCUCGGUGCUGAUUCCGGUCCCUCGUGGUCGGCUUGUGAGAGGCACUCACCUCCUUAUCAGCCGGGAAACAGGAAGAGGAGCCCUCGUCUUAAUCCUCAGAGAGCGUCUCCUUCUGCAUUUUUACCUCCGCUCUCUGAGAUAAUAAGCUCCUCUCAAUCUGAGAUGUUCAUGUAAUACAAAACAUAAUGUACUUUUCUCAACCUGAGCUACCGACUGGAUUAUUUCCUCACCUUGUUGUCCUCUAUUUCACCGCGUUAAGUCCUUGUUUUCUUGUUCCUUUCUGCUUAUUUUCAUACUUUCAUUUUUUUUUUUUUUGCGAAUCUUAAAGAACAAAACUCACCAAACAUCAAACCUUUAAUUCACUCCUCGUUGCAUUUUGCAGCAUGUUUCCUUUUUCUUAGACGUCUUUAUAAACUUUCUUUCCAUUACAUGUGGUAUUUCCCUUCAGUAAAGGACGCGCGUCCUUCAUAGGUAAACACACACACACACACUUCUGUAGCUGUAGUCGAGGGUUAGUACUCACACUGGAC